AAAGAAGCGAGAAGUUUCCCAAGUAUAUUUCCCUUCUCCAGCCUCGUUCCAAACGCCAUCUUCGUCAUCCCCGCAAAGGCAAAACCACCUUGGCUGGCUGGUCGCCCUCCUCUCUUCUCCACCAUCCUCCUCAUCCUGCUUCUUUUCUUUUUAAUUUCUGGGCUCAUCUUCUUAUGCCUAAUACUGCUAAUCAAUUGCAGAGGCUGGCCAUAUGAUUGAUGCCCGCCAUUGAAUGGUUUUGUUUUGUUCCACCGCUGCUAUAUCAAAUCAAUAUGUAUUUAGAUAAAUGUACGUAGGAAUCAGAUAAGAGCUGGGUGUUAACGAAAACAAAAAAAAGAAUGGAUUUUGUGGGCUCCCCCUCUCCCUCUUCCGCCUCAACUUCUGCACCAAACGAUGUCACUUCUCAGGAGCAUUAUGUAACAUCAAUUGAGGCAGAUCACGAGACAACGUGUUGGGGCUGUGGAGUCCGUCUUCUUGUUUCACCUCAUGCACCUGUUUUCAAAUGUGGCUGGUGUGGAGCAAUAACUAACAGAAAUGCAUUGAAAAAUAAUAAGCAGUACUAUAAGUGGAGACGUUUGCGAGAUCGUUGCUUUGUUGUUUUCGUCCUUUUGUUCAUGCUUUUUAUAAUAUGUGGUGGCAUCUGGGCAGUCUAUCCUGUUGUUUUCUCAAUCAGUUUUUUCUGGGGAAUUUUCCACUCCACGAUAACUCUAAUACUAUCUGUAUCUACAUUAUCUUCGUUUGGCCUAGCAUCAUUUCUGUCUCCUGGUGUUCCACCAAGGAUAUUGUGGGGUAGCUACCCGGCAGUAGGAAAAGGUGGACUUGAGAACUAUACCUUUUGUCACCACUGUUCAAAGCCUAAGUCAUCAAGGACGCACCAUUGCAGUUCGUGCGGAAUGUGUGUAUUAGACAUGGAUCAUCACUGCCCAUUUAUUGGAAACUGUGUUGGUGCAGCUAAUCACCGGUGCUUCAUCAUCUUCCUCAUUUCAGCUGUAAUGAGUACAAUCUAUGUCUCAACUAUAUCUUUUUAUGCAGCACUUCAUGUCUGGCCACCAGUAAAUUAUGUGGCCAAUCAACCUCUAAACAGGCUUCUUUCUUAUGAGUUCACCUUGAACUUCUUGAAAGAAUCUGCUUUUGCAUUGCUGAGAUCUGCUGUCUUUCUUACACCAAGAGGGCUUGUUCUGGUUUACCUUUUCAUCGCUAGUGUCUCAGUGGGGAUUGGUUUAAGCGUACUUUUGUGGCAACAGCUCUCCUACGUAUAUAGAGGGAAGACUUACUUAAGUCAAUUAAAUGCUUCAGAGGGUGACGGUGGGGAAAGGGAUUGUAAAAAUUUAAUCAACUUUUUUGGUUGUCAGUAUAUUGCAGCAGGAUAUUUCCCUAGUUUUUGGAACUCAAGGAAGACUCACGAGAAGUAAGCACGAAGAGGUUUGUUAACUUCUUUUCUGUUUUACAUUGACCAGUUUCUUUAAAUUUGGUUAUUAUCAUUGCUAUUAAGUGGCAAAGCAUAAGCUGGAAUAAGAGUUGCAAGAGAUAUUGAUUUCUUUUUAUGCGUUUCACAAGAUGGUUGAGGACGAAAGUGUGAGUCUGGAUUUAUCGGUCAAUGAUUUAGGUGUCCUAGUGAACUUGAAGCUUGCUUUUACUGGUGGAUGCAAACUUCAGUACAGUAGCUUGUGAUUUGUAGAGUUGCAUAAGAGUUUAUCAGGAUUAGAAAUAGCCAAGCGUUUUGGUCAUGUGUGUAAACCGGUGAGGUGUGACAUCCAAACCCAAAAUUUUUUGUGGUAUUUUGGCAGAGGGGUUUGGUUCCUAUUUUCACAAAUUUGAAAUUAUGGAUAAACCAGGAAGAUUUAUUUUGCACAUAAUCUAGUUUUGAAAGUUUUGCUGUUAAUUUUAAACUAUUUACUUUAGCAAUGUUUUCAAUUUCUGAUGGUAUGGGUAAUGUCACUUAAUUGUAUGGAAAAAAUUCUUAUAUUUGAUGCUUCUUUUAUUAUGUAGGUAGCUAUGAGUAAUUUUGUGGGUUGUUUUCCUUUUAUAGAGUUAAAACUUAGAGACCCAAUUAUGAGCGUUAUCCCCUUUUCUUUAUGUUCAUAACAAUUCUGGCUCACUCAAUGUGCAUGCGAUCCAAAAUAUCUUUUGUAUCAAUUUUGUUAAUUGUCCUAUCAUUAAAAGUGAAAAAUUGACAAGAUUUUAGUAAAGAUAAACUUAAUUUGUCUUGGUUGCUUGUUAAAUGGUUUUUACACUAAAAAAUGAAAACAAAUUCUGGAAUAGGUAAUUGGCUACAAUUUCUAGCUUAGUGGUUGUAGAUUUAUUGACUUUAACAAUGGAGGAAAGAUGUUAACUUCUGCCCUGAUUAAUGUGGAGUUGGUAAAUAGGGGAUCAUGAUUUGAUUGAAAAUUUGUAACUGGAGAAGCAAACUGCGAGGAUUCAUUAGCUGUAGGGCAAAUGUGCAUUAGCAUGUAGCAAUGGUUGAUUUACUGGGGUACAAUUAGGCUUUUGAUCAUGGCAGUGGUUUUGUUUUUUUUAACCUUCUUUUGGUGAAAGAGGAUACAACCAGACAACGGGAGACACUGCCUGAUUACAAGCAGUACUAUCCUUUUAUGUAGUAAAAUUAAGAUGUACACAAAGGAGCUAAAUAAACAAAUAAAAUGUUUAUUGCAGAUUAACUUUUGAUGGACACAAGCAUUGACGGAAGUUAAAAAAAAAAAAAGUACAGCGUUGGUGACAGAUUUUAAAUAAUCAUAUCACAUGUCAAUGUGGUCAAAUUCUAUGUUUGUAUUUGCACCAUGUACUUUAGAUUGAUGCAUGAUGUGGAUUUAGUCUACCAACUUUUUGCUUAAACCAACAGAGACUUGCAUAUGCUGAUUCUGUAGUUUUGCAACACCUAUUGGUAUAAUUUUGUAUGCCAAGCAUUUUAUCAUUAUAAAAAAUUGCUAGAGCAAAUUACAAGCUGUAGAUUGCAGGAUAAAGUUGAGAUUCUAGCCUCUAAGAGGAUAAAGUUGGAUAUUACUGUCCUUGACAUGGUUUAUCCUGCCUUAUCAUAAUGUUUAGUCUCAACUCCCUCCCUUCCUCCCUCCCUCUAUCUCAAUAGAUUUGUCUUUUUUUGAAAAAGAUAAACACAGUGCACUAAUUAAAAAUUUUUUUGUCUGUACAUGCUGGUUUUUUUGUAUGAUUGCCUGAGAAUAUGGUUGUAUGUUACAAAAGAUGGUUGUUUAGUUGUAUUUGGACACACUUUUGUGACUUUGACAUAUUAUAGAAAUGAAGACAAUUUUUUUUAGUUUUGAUUACAAUUUCCACACGCUUACAAACUGUUUGAUUCUGAAUGCUUAUGCUGUUUUGGGUCUUUGCUUCCUUCUUGUGGGAGGGGCCUUGCUUUUUGAUAAAGCGUUCCUUUUAUAGCUUAGGUGUACAUUGAUGAAAUUAGAAUUUUUUGCAUUGCAUAAAGGUCAACUUGGAAUAAGUCUUCCACAUUGGCAGUUAGAAUGGACAUGUAUUAAUGCUAGCAGGCCAGUUGUUUGUCUGUCAGUUGUUGCUAAAAGUAGUUCAUAAGCUUGUCCUCCAGCAUACAGAUUCUUCUAUCCCGUAGGUUUUGCAAAUUUGUGAUGAUAUUAUAGUUUGUCCAACUUUCUGUUAUUUGGUAAUCUAAUUAACCUAUCUAGAAUGGACAUGAAGAAGCUUCUGAGGAUCACAAUAAGGGGCUGCAAGAGUCUUUUCUAAUCUUCUUUUACCUUGUGCCUCUGGUUUUAGACCCUACAAGUUAAAAGAGUGUUAGAGCCUGGGCGAACAGAAGAAUGAAUUAAUGGAAACUGGAGAUCAAUUAAAAUGAUGCAUGGCGUUUCAGUAGGAUAUUCAAUGACAAAUUUGAUAGCUUUUAGGAUUAUAUAAUCUUUUAAGCUCUGUCUCUCUCGCGUUGUUGUUGAUAGCACCAUGCCUUCGGUUGUCAUCAUUACACCUCCAGGGUACUGAGACAGAAUUACUGGCUGCCUUCCUGGCCUUAAUUCAAAAUUUUUACAUUGAGCCUGGAGGACAUUAUGCUUAUUUAUUCAUUUUUGACUGGUAAGAGGUCAUUAGUUUUGGACACUGAAUGCCAAAAAAAAUAAAAUAAAAUAAUAAAUUAUGAGAGAAGUGUUUUGUGUGCAUAUCAGGUGUUUGGUUUAACUUACUGAUUUGCCUUCUGUGUUAAAUUUCAUUCUUAGUUAUUGUCAAGAACCUGUAAAAUUUUAUGAUUCUAUUAUUUAAAAUGUCUUUCAUUGUUUUAGCCAAUUAUAUAUAACUAUUCAUAGAUAACUUCCUUUCUUCAGCAUGCUAAUUAUUAGUUUAUCCUGUUUCAGUGAUCAUGUAUGCUGUUUAAGAAAUGUGAUUCAGUUUAUUCUUUUUUUGGGUUGGUUGUAAGCAAUGUGCUUUAGUUGAAUAUCUGAAAUUUCAGGUUGAUCGGAAAUGGACUUGAAUGGAAAAAAUGGGGACAGAGAGAAUACAUAAAUGGCUUUAAAGAUUUAAGUGUCACUCUUUUGGUAACAUUGACAAGAUGAUUGACAAAUCUUGACUUUAUUACAUAAGACUGUGUUCUGUGAAACUAAAAUUGGAGUCUCUACGUAAAUCAUAGUCAAACAUGAGGUUGAGCACUCUUAGGAGUUGGACUUUCACAGUGGUGGGCAAAAUUUACAGUGAUAAAGUAACGAGGUAGAAGACAUUAAUUAAGCACAUAUUUGGAGAAUAACAAAUAGCGAAAGGCAGAAAAAACCAGUCUUAGUUAAACACAAAAAAUCGUGCGGUAGUUGUGCAAUUUAUUGGAUCAUCCCAUUGGGUUGUUAACUUUGGCCACUAAUAUUAGUUUAUCAAGAUGUGGUAAUUUGUAUUGGCAUACCCAUGUUGUUGUUGACCAGUUUUACUACAAUUAAUCCAAUUUUUUUUCCCAUUGAGAAGAAACUUUCAGAAUUGUCUGCCCCUCCUUACAGAAAUUUCUUCUCUGGGGCACCUUUGAACUUGCCAUUUGGCAGCUUGGUUGCUCUUUAAUAGGAGCAUGAAGCAUUUAUUGAAGGGUGGGGGUACUUAAUUGUAAGAAGGAAAUGCUAAACGUCUUGGUUUAAUUAAAUAUUUUAGGCGCGUACCUUUCUUUUAUAUAGCUUAAGGAUGGUAAUGAUCUUGUCGAACUUUGGUUUUCUACUUUUCUGGAUUACAUAACUUGUGUUAUCGCAUUGACAAAUACCUGCUAAAAGUGUUUGAAGGUUCCUAAAGAAUUCAGAAAGAAAUCAUACCUUUGAAUUGAUGCUAGUGAAAAGGUGUUGCAUUUCUUUAUUUCGAAUCAUUAAUAUAGAGAUGGAUGGAGUGCUUUCAUUUGAUUAACGUCUAAUCUGUUUAAUGCCGUCAAGGCAAAAUGGAGGUUAACUUAGUUUUCCAAGUCUCAGGUUUGUACUUUUAAUUUUCUUGAAUCUCAAGUUUCGGGUCAUUACUGACAAGCAACUGGUAAUUAAUUACCGUACGAGUCCUGACUUGUUAAAAAAUCAUGUGUCCUGUAUCAUCAGUACAUGAUAUACCCUGAUAGGUGGAAACUAAGUGAUGAAGAUUCCGGGUGCUUUGUAGAUUCUUAUUUUGUAUUCAUUUGGAGAAUGAAUAAUUCCUGUAUUGUGCAAUGAAUGUGUGAAGCUGAUGAAUGAGGAUUUUGUCAUGGUGACUGGCUAGUGGAUUUCUGUGUAGCAUCCGAUCGUGCAUGGUUUGCUAAAAACACCAAACAGUGCCAUAGAAGGGGCCAAAAUCAAGAUUCCGACAUGCAAGAUAUGUAGCUGCUCUUCUAUAGCGGGGGCCAAAAUCAGGGAUUUAUGUAGCUGCUCUUCUACUUUUGAUAGGAAAAUUUUGGAAGCUUCUACUCAUUAUAGUUAUUACUGUAGUUUGUUGUUCACCGUCUUCUAGAUGCGAGCUGGUAAUGAAUUUUUGCAUCAAGUCUGCCACAUUUUUCCUUGUACUAUUUUGUUUGGAACAAACUUGUGUCUGCGAGGUUAAAUUGAAGUUGGAUCUCGGUGAUUAACGAGUA
This is an RNA transcript of Coffea arabica (coffee), 6019 nucleotides long. It is a transcript of the gene named protein S-acyltransferase 11-like, with no coding region annotated. Lineage: Eukaryota; Viridiplantae; Streptophyta; Magnoliopsida; Gentianales; Rubiaceae. The record is from RefSeq and is a predicted model, not a curated record.